UACAAUGUUUGACUCUUUGUCUUAUUUGAAAUUUUUUAUGAUUAAUAUUUUUAUUCUUACUAGAUGAUAAAACAUGAAUAAUACUUUAUGCGUAACUAAUUUUUUAAAAGUUUUGUUACAAAAUUUUUAAAUAAAACGAAUGGGUCAAACGUUGGACACGGAAA
This 164-nucleotide microRNA precursor is filed under the name Oryza brachyantha (malo sina). RNAcentral's name for it is "MIR812 microRNA precursor family". It matches the Rfam family "MIR812 microRNA precursor family", at positions 27 to 187 of the family's 205-position model. Lineage: Eukaryota; Viridiplantae; Streptophyta; Magnoliopsida; Poales; Poaceae. The record is from Rfam by way of RNAcentral.